GGCGAUGAAACUUCUCUAAGUUGAAGCCACGCCCCUUCCGCAGCCAGCUCCUGAGCAAGGCGACUAGCUAAUUUGCCAACUUGGCUCCGACUAAGAAAGACAAAAUGCCAACGUGACCAACAUCGCAUUCGCGACAUGCCGAUCAGGUCACGUCUGGUCGAAGGGUAUUUGGCUUACCACCGUUUAUCACAUACGCCCAACAA
RNAcentral lists this long non-coding RNA (203 nucleotides) under Elaeis guineensis (African oil palm). RNAcentral's name for it is "long non-coding RNA (EGUI_LNC004145)". The record is from RNAcentral. Lineage: Eukaryota; Viridiplantae; Streptophyta; Magnoliopsida; Arecales; Arecaceae.